Hydra vulgaris (swiftwater hydra) is the source of this 176-nucleotide non-coding RNA. NCBI's taxonomy places the organism in Eukaryota, Metazoa, Cnidaria, Hydrozoa, Anthoathecata, Hydridae. The record is from RefSeq and is a predicted model, not a curated record.
AGGUCAGAGGGGGUAACCGCUACUAACUUCUUCAAAAAUAAAUACUCUGGAUGCAUCUUGUAAUACUACUACUGUAAUAUGGUCAGAGGAGGAGGGAUACGCCCUUUUCUCGUGUCUUUGUGUACACCACUACUUUUUGUUUUAAAGAUGUAAAAAAAAAUUAUUCAUUUUAUAAA